This is a non-coding RNA of Arvicola amphibius (Eurasian water vole), 492 nucleotides long. The record is from the annotation of a RefSeq genome assembly. NCBI's taxonomy places the organism in Eukaryota, Metazoa, Chordata, Mammalia, Rodentia, Cricetidae.
GGGAGCAAGAUGGAGUCACAGACACAGGUCCUCAUGUCCUUGCUCAUCUGGGUAUCUGGAGCCUGUGCAGAUAUCGUGAUGACCCAGUCUCCAUCCUCCAUGACUGUGUCAUUAGGAGAGAAGGUCACCAUCAGCUGUAAGUCCACUCAGAGUCUUUUUAACAGUAAUUACAAGAAAAUCUUCUUGAACUGGCACCAACAGAAACCAGGAGAGGCUCCUAAACUGCUGAUCUACUAUGCAUCCACUCGGGGUACUGGAGUCCCUGAUCGCUUCAUAGGCAGUGGAUCUGAGACAGAUUUCACUCUCACCAUCAGCAGUAUCCAGGCUGAAGAUCUGGCAGAUUACUACUGUAUGCAAUCUUAUGAGUAUCCUCCCACAGUGCUUCAGCCUCCAACAAAGACUUCUGAGAGUCUCAACAGCUGCCUGCACCACAGGCUGCCCUGCGCCUGCACACUUCGUUCUGCCUGGGAGACAGGGAGCUUGGAACUUUGA